Molecule: transfer RNA, 91 nt
Filed under: bovine gut metagenome
Description: Selenocysteine transfer RNA
Rfam family: Selenocysteine transfer RNA
Source: RNAcentral
GGGUAGAAGGGUAACUGGUGUGCCUCCUGGUCUUCAAAACCAGUGUGAGCAGUUGUAGCUGCUCGGGUGGGUUCGAUUCCCACCUGCUCCC